AAUUGCUAGUAAUGGCAGGUCAGCAUACUGCCGUGAAUACGUUCCCGGGCCUUGUACACACCGCCCGUCACACCAUGAGAGUUGGGAAUACCCGAAGCCUGUGAGCUAACUGUAAGGAGGCAGCAGUCGAAGGUAGAAUCAAUGAUUGGGGUGAAGUCGUAACAAGGUAUC
This 171-nucleotide ribosomal RNA is filed under the name uncultured bacterium. RNAcentral describes it as "partial 16S ribosomal RNA". It matches the Rfam family "Bacterial small subunit ribosomal RNA", at positions 1330 to 1500 of the family's 1533-position model. The record is from RNAcentral.